GAUGAACGCUGGCGGCGUGCCUAAUACAUGCAAGUCGAGCGAACGGACGAGAAGCUUGCUUCUCUGAUGUUAGCGGCGGACGGGUGAGUAACACGUGGAUAACCUACCUAUAAGACUGGGAUAACUUCGGGAAACCGGAGCUAAUACCGGAUAAUAUUUUGAACCGCAUGGUUCAAAAGUGAAAGACGGUCUUGCUGUCUCUUAUAGAUGGAUCCGCGCUGCAUUAGCUAGUUGGUAAGGUAACGGCUUACCAAGGCAACGAUGCAUAGCCGACCUGAGAGGGUGAUCGGCCACACUGGAACUGAGACACGGUCCAGACUCCUACGGGAGGCAGCAGUAGGGAAUCUUCCGCAAUGGGCGAAAGCCUGACGGGGCAACGCCGCGUGAGUGAUGAAGGUCUUCGGAUCGUAAAACUCUGUUAUUAGGGAAGAACAUAUGUGUAAGUAACUGUGCACAUCUUGACGGUACCUAAUCAGAAAGCCACGGCUAACUACGUG
RNAcentral lists this ribosomal RNA (497 nucleotides) under uncultured bacterium. RNAcentral's name for it is "partial 16S ribosomal RNA". It matches the Rfam family "Bacterial small subunit ribosomal RNA", at positions 28 to 507 of the family's 1533-position model. The record is from RNAcentral.